Molecule: ribosomal RNA, 443 nt
Filed under: uncultured soil bacterium
Lineage: Bacteria
Description: bacterial SSU rRNA
Rfam family: Bacterial small subunit ribosomal RNA
Source: RNAcentral
AGAACGAACGCUGGCGGCAUGCCUAAUACAUGCAAGUCGAACGAACUCUUCGGAGUUAGUGGCGCACGGGUGCGUAACGCGUGGGAAUCUGCCCUUGGGUUCGGAAUAACAGUUGGAAACGACUGCUAAUACCGGAUGAUGACGAAAGUCCAAAGAUUUAUCGCCCAGGGAUGAGCCCGCGUAGGAUUAGCUAGUUGGUGAGGUAAAGGCUCACCAAGGCGACGAUCCUUAGCUGGUCUGAGAGGAUGAUCAGCCACACUGGGACUGAGACACGGCCCAGACUCCUACGGGAGGCAGCAGUAGGGAAUAUUGGACAAUGGGCGAAAGCCUGAUCCAGCAAUGCCGCGUGAGUGAUGAAGGCCUUAGGUUGUAAAGCUCUUUACCCGAGAUGAUAAUGACAGUAUCGGAGAUAACGCCCGACUAACUCCGUCGCCAGCAGCCGC